Molecule: ribosomal RNA, 104 nt
Filed under: Amphilophus citrinellus (Midas cichlid)
Lineage: Eukaryota; Metazoa; Chordata; Actinopteri; Cichliformes; Cichlidae
Source: RNAcentral
GCUUACAGCCAUGCCAACCUGAACACACCCAAUCUCGUGUGGUCUUGGAAGCCUGGUUAGUACUUGGAUGGGAGUCGCCCUGGGAAUACCAGGUGCUGUAGGGA